CACGUACGGGAGGCAGCAGUCGAGAAUAUUCGACAAUGGGCGAAAGCCUGAUCGAGCGACGCCGCGUGCUCGAAGAAGUCCUUAGGGAUGUAAAGAGCUUUUCUCACGGAGGAAUUUUUUGAGGGGACCUGAGGAAUAAGGGGAUGCUAAUCACGUGCCAGCAGCCGCGGUAAUACGUGAUCCCCAAGCGUUAUCCGGAUUUAUUGGGCGUAAAGGGUUCGUAGGCGGAUGGGCAAGUCUUUGGUUAAAUUUUCAUGGCUUAACUAUGAAACUGCCCGAGAUACUGCUCAACUAGAGGGCGCUAGAGGCUGAUAGAACGGUCAGUGUAGGGGUGAAAUCCGUUGAUAUUGACCGGAAUACCAAAUGCGAAGGCAUUCAGCUGGGGCGACCCUGACGCUGAGGAACGAAAGCGUGGGCAUGGAAAAGGAUUAGAUACCCUUGUACUCCACGCUGUAAACGAUGGACACUAGCUAUUUGAAGUGUCGACCCUUCAAGUGGCGAAGCUAACGCGUUAAGUGUCCCGCCUGGGAAGUACGGCCGCAAGGCUAAAACUCAAAAGAAUAGACGGGGCUUCACACAAGCGGUGGAG
This 589-nucleotide ribosomal RNA is filed under the name uncultured bacterium. RNAcentral describes it as "bacterial SSU rRNA". It matches the Rfam family "Bacterial small subunit ribosomal RNA", at positions 335 to 937 of the family's 1533-position model. The record is from RNAcentral.